Molecule: ribosomal RNA, 410 nt
Filed under: uncultured bacterium
Lineage: Bacteria
Description: bacterial SSU rRNA
Rfam family: Bacterial small subunit ribosomal RNA
Source: RNAcentral
UCGAGGAUCUUCGGCAAUGGGCGCAAGCCUGACCGAGCGACGCCGCGUGUGCGAAGAAGGCCUUCGGGUUGUAAAGCACUGUCGGGGGGGAGGAAGGCGCAAGCUUGACCGACCCCCGGAGGAAGCACGGGCUAAGUUCGUGCCAGCAGCCGCGGUAAGACGAACCGUGCGAACGUUGUUCGGAAUCACUGGGCUUAAAGGGCGCGUAGGCGGGCACUCCAGUCUGUGGUGAAAGCCUCCCGCUUAACGGGAGAAGUGCCGCGGAUACUGAGUGUCUCGAGGGGUGUAGGGGCACGCGGAACUUCCGGUGGAGCGGUGAAAUGCGUAGAGAUCGGAAGGAACGCCGGUGGCGAAAGCGGCGUGCUGGGCACCUUCUGACGCUGAGGCGCGAAAGCCAGGGGAGCGAACGG